GAUGAACGCUGGCGGCGUGCCUAAUACAUGCAAGUCGAGCGAAGAGACGAGGCGUUUGCUCCUCUGACGUUAGCGGCGGACGGGUGCGUCACACGUGGAUAACCUACCUCUAAGAAUGGGAUAAUUUCGGGAAACCGGAGCUAAUAGCGGAAAAUAUAUCGAAACGCAUGGUUCACUAGUGAAAGUAGGUUUUUCUGGCACUUACAGAUUGAUCAGCGUCGCAUUAGCUAGUUGGUAAGGUAACGGCUUACCAAGGCAACGAUGGUUAGCCGGCCCGAGAGGGAGGUCGCUCACACUGGAACUGAGAAACGGCCCAGACUCCGACGGUAGGCAGCAGUAGGGAAUCUUCCGCAAUGGACGAAAGCGUGACGGAGCAACGCCGCGUGAGUGAUGAUGGUCUUCGGAUCGUAAAGCGCUGUUAUUAGUGAAGAACAAAUGUUUAAGUAACUAUGCACGUCUUGACGGUACCGAAUCAGAAAGCCACGGCUAACUACGUG
This 497-nucleotide ribosomal RNA is filed under the name uncultured bacterium. Its description in RNAcentral is "partial 16S ribosomal RNA". It matches the Rfam family "Bacterial small subunit ribosomal RNA", at positions 28 to 507 of the family's 1533-position model. The record is from RNAcentral.